Molecule: ribosomal RNA, 628 nt
Filed under: bacterium EK-MI6
Lineage: Bacteria
Description: bacterial SSU rRNA
Rfam family: Bacterial small subunit ribosomal RNA
Source: RNAcentral
UANNUGCAGUCGACGAUGAAGCCAGCUUGCUGGUGGAUUAGUGGCGAACGGGUGAGUAACACGUGAGUAACCUGCCCUUAACUCUGGGAUAAGCCUGGGAAACUGGGUCUAAUACCGGAUAUGACUCCUCAUCGCAUGGUGGGGGGUGGAAAGCUUUAUUGUGGUUUUGGAUGGACUCGCGGCCUAUCAGCUUGUUGGUGAGGUAAUGGCUUACCAAGGCGACGACGGGUAGCCGGCCUGAGAGGGUGACCGGCCACACUGGGACUGAGACACGGCCCAGACUCCUACGGGAGGCAGCAGUGGGGAAUAUUGCACAAUGGGCGCAAGCCUGAUGCAGCGACGCCGCGUGAGGGAUGACGGCCUUCGGGUUGUAAACCUCUUUCAGUAGGGAAGAAGCGAAAGUGACGGUACCUGCAGAAGAAGCGCCGGCUAACUACGUGCCAGCAGCCGCGGUAAUACGUAGGGCGCAAGCGUUAUCCGGAAUUAUUGGGCGUAAAGAGCUCGUAGGCGGUUUGUCGCGUCUGCCGUGAAAGUCCGGGGCUCAACUCCGGAUCUGCGGUGGGUACGGGCAGACUAGAGUGAUGUAGGGGAGACUGGAAUUCCUGGUGUAGCGGUGAAAUNGCGUANA